RNAcentral lists this ribosomal RNA (440 nucleotides) under uncultured bacterium. RNAcentral describes it as "partial 16S ribosomal RNA". It matches the Rfam family "Bacterial small subunit ribosomal RNA", at positions 338 to 795 of the family's 1533-position model. The record is from RNAcentral.
CCUACGGGAGGCAGCAGUGGGGAAUAUUGCACAAUGGGGGAAACCCUGAUGCAGCGACGCCGCGUGAGUGAGGAAGUCUUUCGGUAUGUUAAGCUCUUUUAGCAGGGAAGAAACUGCCGGUACCUGACUAAGUAUCCCCGGCUAACUACGUGCCAGCAGCCGCGGUACUACGUAGGGGGCAAGCGUUAUCCGGAUUUACCGGGCGUAAAGGGAGCGUAGUCGGCUAAUCAAGUCAGAAGUGAAAACCCAGGGCUCAACCUUGGGACUGCUUUUGAAACUGAGUGGCUAGAGUGCAGGAGAGGUAGGAGGAAUUCGUGGUGUAGCGGUGAAAUGCGUAGAUAUUAGGAGGAACACCGGUGGCGAAGGCAGCUUACUGGGCUGUGACUGACGUUGAGGCUCGAAGGCGUGGGGAGCAAACAGGAUUAGAUACCCGAGUAGUC